ACACGGAGGUCGCAAGCGUUGCUCGGAAUCACUGGGCGUAAAGCGGGUGUAGGCGGUCUAGCAAGUCAGAUGUGAAAGCCCACGGCUCAACCGUGGAAGUGCAUCUGAAACUGCUAGACUUGAGUGCCGGAGAGGGAAGUGGAAUUCCUGGUGUAGGGGUGAAAUCCGUAGAUAUCAGGAGGAACACCGGUGGCGAAGGCGACUUCCUGGACGGCCACUGACGCUGAGACCCGAAAGCGUGGGGAGCAAACAGGAUUAGAAACCCUAGUAGUCC
This 274-nucleotide ribosomal RNA is filed under the name uncultured bacterium. Its description in RNAcentral is "partial 16S ribosomal RNA". It matches the Rfam family "Bacterial small subunit ribosomal RNA", at positions 523 to 796 of the family's 1533-position model. The record is from RNAcentral.